CUUAAUGGUGGCUGUGCGCAUGGCACCCUCGGGUGCGCCGGGAUUUUGGUGGAUUCGCCCGGUCUGCUAACUUGCGUACAGCCGCCACCCUU
This 92-nucleotide non-coding RNA is filed under the name Pseudomonas helmanticensis. RNAcentral also lists the same sequence under 1 other name. Lineage: Bacteria; Pseudomonadati; Pseudomonadota; Gammaproteobacteria; Pseudomonadales; Pseudomonadaceae. The record is from RNAcentral.